This 468-nucleotide ribosomal RNA is filed under the name uncultured bacterium. Its description in RNAcentral is "partial 16S ribosomal RNA". It matches the Rfam family "Bacterial small subunit ribosomal RNA", at positions 28 to 507 of the family's 1533-position model. The record is from RNAcentral.
GACGAACGCUGGCGGCGUGCUUAACACAUGCAAGUCGAACGGAAAGGCCCUGCUUUUGUGGGGUGCUCGAGUGGCGAACGGGUGAGUAACACGUGAGUAACCUGCCCUUGACUUUGGGAUAACUUCAGGAAACUGGGGCUAAUACCGGAUAGGAGCUCCUGCUGCAUGGUGGGGGUUGGAAAGUUUCGGCGGUUGGGGAUGGACUCGCGGCUUAUCAGCUUGUUGGUGGGGUAGUGGCUUACCAAGGCUUUGACGGGUAGCCGGCCUGAGAGGGUGACCGGCGACAUUGGGACUGAGAUACGGCCCAGACGCGUACGGGAGGCAGAGGGGGGAAAUAUUGCACAAUGGGCGGAAGCCUGGGGCAGAAACGCCGCGUGCGGGAUGACGGCCUUCGGGGUGUAAACCGCUUUCGCCUGUGACGAAGCGUGAGUGACGGUAAUGGGUAAAGAAGCACCGGCUAACUACGUG